UACAGAGACUGCGAGCGUUAUUCGGAUUCACUGGGCGUAAAGGGUGCGCAGGCGGCCGUGUGUGUGAGGCGUGAAAGCCCGGGGCUUAACCCCGGAAUUGCACCUCAAACUACAUGGCUAGAGCAUUGGAGAGGGUAGCGGAAUUCACGGUGUAGCAGUGAAAUGCGUAGAUAUCGAGAGGAACACCUGCGGCGAAGGCGGGUUGCUGGGCUGACACUGACGCUGAUGCGCGAAAGCUAGGGGAGCGAACGGG
Molecule: ribosomal RNA, 253 nt
Filed under: uncultured bacterium
Lineage: Bacteria
Description: partial 16S ribosomal RNA
Rfam family: Bacterial small subunit ribosomal RNA
Source: RNAcentral